RNA transcript from Morus notabilis, 1048 nucleotides. It is a transcript of the gene named 50S ribosomal protein L9, chloroplastic, with no coding region annotated. The record is from RefSeq and is a predicted model, not a curated record. NCBI's taxonomy places the organism in Eukaryota, Viridiplantae, Streptophyta, Magnoliopsida, Rosales, Moraceae. The transcript has 7 exons.
CUGUAGGCCUGCAGCGAAGGGAGGAAGGAAAUAGAUAAGAUAGUCUAAAAUCCAUUAAGAGAGAGAGAGAGAGAGAGAGAGAGAGAGAGUUAUGGCAUCAUCUACAGCUUCGACUCUGUCAUGGAGUUCCUCCUCGUUGCUUCAGAGAUUUGGAGGCAACACAAACGAAGCCCCCAAAUCCUCAGACCCAAGAACGACCUUCCACAUUUUGGCUCAAAAGAAAGCGAAGAAAGCUCGAGCGAUAAUUCUGAAGGAGGAUGUACCUGCCUUGGGAACUAAAGGCCAACUUCUUAACGUGAAGGCUGGAUAUUACAGGAAUUAUCUGCAUCCUACGGGAAAGGCCCAAAUUGUCACUCCCGUUCUCCUCAAGGAAAUGAAGAUUGAAGAGGAAAGAAUUGAAGCCGAGAAAAAGCGGGUAAAAGAAGAGGCACAGCAAUUGGCUCUCAUUUUCGAAACUGUUGGAGCUUUUAAGGUGAAGCGCAAAGGUGGAAAAGGAAAGCAAAUUUUCGGAAGUGUUACCGCUCAAGAUCUUGUGGACAUAAUCAAGGCUCAACUUCAAAGGGACGUGGACAAGCGAAUUGUGACACUUCCGGAGAUCCGGGAAACAGGGGAAUAUGUUGCCGAACUGAAGCUUCACCCCGAAGUCACAGCCCAAGUGAGGGUGAAUGUGUAUGCAAACUAAGGACAAAGCUCAUCUAAGUAUGCCCACUUUAAUGCACAGUCCAUACAAGUGACUUGCCAUGAUCUAAGCAAUGCAAUCAACACAGAUACGGCGGCAUAUGAUAAGUACCACGGAGCAGUGCGGGACUCGACCGUCGUGUUUCUUGCCAUGUAAUUCUUCCGUUACGAUGCCACACUUGAAUUGUUGCAUCACCAAUGGUGAGAAAUAACAACGUUUAAUGAGAGAUGUUUAGAACUUGUUUACCCAAGUUUUUCUUUUAUGCUUCUGCCUAUUCAUUGUUAAAAUCUGCAAAAAUAGUCUUGAGAACUUCAUUCACGUUAUUUCCUCAUUACCAACUCGGACCAUUUCAUUAUAUCUCUGUUCAUU